This is a long non-coding RNA of Camelus dromedarius (Arabian camel), 1770 nucleotides long. RefSeq lists it as uncharacterized. NCBI's taxonomy places the organism in Eukaryota, Metazoa, Chordata, Mammalia, Artiodactyla, Camelidae. The transcript has 4 exons. The record is from RefSeq and is a predicted model, not a curated record.
GGCCGCGCUCCUCGCGGCGCUUCCCCGGAAUAGCGUCAUCAGCUCUAUAAGAGAGCGUGUGCAGAAGGGCUCGGUCUUUUACAUCCGGAGAGCGUCUAGUUUAGGUUAAGGUACGCGUUCUUGUUUUGUGCGCUAAAAUACUUGGGACGGAACUUUUUGUCUUAGUUUAAGAUGCAGGAGAUUCAGCAAUCUUGUAGUGGUAGGUCGAGGUCAGUUUUGGAAAGCCUGAGUAGACUGAGACGUCCCUUAGUUCGCUCGGCAGCCACGUGCAGCCCGGGGAGCUGAGUCGGAAGCCUAGCGCGCGUGGGCCGUGGGCCCUCGGGCAAGGGUUAAAUGCAGCUGAUGCCUCUGGUGUAGAAGUCGUUAGCUCUGCUGUCGGUGUCAUGUGACCAUCUUGAAUCUCCUCCGCCACUAUUUAAUAGUAACACCGUGCCCUGAUGACCCGCCAGUUUGAUCCAGGUGGAACCUGAACUAAUUGUUCCUGUGAGAGAUGGAAGACAUAACAAGGUAUCAAGAAAUCCAAAACAGCAUGGGUGAAGUCUUAUUUAGCAUCCUGCGGUGCACUGCCAAACGAUUUUAAAUCUCAGCAGCUUGGGGAUCAAGUGUGGCGAGUAAUGUUCUGGAAACUAUUUUCAGUAUAGUCCUGAAUAUUAUUUGGUUCAGCCAUGGCCAAAGAGAUCGGUGCUGUAAAAAAACCUGGAGGGCUCGGCACUCAUGCAGCGAGGCCUCAAGACAGUGUUUGAUGAAGCUUUCGAGAGGUUUGCUGCCCACCUCCCGUCAAGAAGAGGAAGAGAAAAUGCCUGCUAUUGUAAAUGUCUGGUCCCCUCUCCUGCCCUGCCCUAUCCCCUGGGAACCUCUGUAGGCUUUGCUCCAACAGUGGAGCCUUUACACUCAAUGCCAAGUUUUUGUUACAGAUUAGUUUUUCCAUAAAACCGUUUUGAACCAAUCAGUCAUUUUUAGGUUUUGUUUGUUUAAUGUGUAAUAGUUCAAACUUUCACAUUCUAUUAAAGUUUAGCCCUAAAGUUAAAAAAAAAAAAAGUUGGCAUAAAAGAAUGCUUUGGACACCUCAGAGUAUAUGAAAGCUAUGAACAUAGAGCUGGAUUCCUAGAACUCCGUGAGCCUUCCAAUAAAGUACCCUCAUCCUAGAAAGAGAGUACUCUAUAGACGAUGACUGUAACAAGACAGUGGGUGUGACCAACUGUGUUCUGAUCUCAUCCUCCCCAGGCUGUCAUACCUACAUUAUUCUGAUAGGAUUACAUAAAAGAGUGACUACUCUACAAAGGGAAAACAAAUAAACCUAAAAAAUUGUUAUCCCACAGACUAAAAUAACACAGAGGGUGACAGGAAUCUACACCUUAUUAUUCAGAAAUGGCUGUUCAGGAGGACUGGUCUGUAUCAUCGCUGCAAGAAUUAGGCACCAAAGCAAUCCCGAUGAACAAGAAACUAUUGUAUGCAUUGAAGUCCAGUAGUUAAAGCAGUAGACAUACAAUUAGAAAGAAAAAGGGAGUGAGAGAGCUAAUUUCAAAAUAUGAAAUCUAAAUCCCCUACCAGUGGGCCUUAAGUUAGACUCCCGAGAAAUCUAAAAGAAAGGUAACCUCUCAGAACCUGACUUCACUGCUUCUGCACUACAGUGUCUACAGUUCCAGAGGAAAUCUAUCUAGUUUUGCAAAUUCCAGAGUUUCUGAUGAUUGAUUAAAGGAGGGUUGUUUUAAUCUAAAGUCCCUGAACCCAGAAGACAAAAUUUGGAGCUUGUUCUAAUCACUGGUAACU